This 1493-nucleotide ribosomal RNA is filed under the name Vibrio vulnificus. RNAcentral's name for it is "partial 23S ribosomal RNA". It matches the Rfam family "Bacterial large subunit ribosomal RNA", at positions 1 to 1546 of the family's 2925-position model. The record is from RNAcentral. Lineage: Bacteria; Pseudomonadati; Pseudomonadota; Gammaproteobacteria; Vibrionales; Vibrionaceae.
GUUGUAUGGUUAAGUGACUAAGCGUACACGGUGGAUGCCUUGGCAGUCAGAGGCGAUGAAGGACGUAGUAACUUGCGAUAAGCGUAGAUGAGGCAGUAACAGCCACUUGAGUCUACGAUUUCCGAAUGGGGAAACCCACUGGCAUAAGCCAGUAUCAUUGAGUGAAUACAUAGCUCAAUGAAGCGAACCGGGAGAACUGAAACAUCUAAGUACCCCGAGGAAAAGAAAUCAACCGAGAUUCCGAAAGUAGCGGCGAGCGAAAUUGGAUUAGCCCUUAAGCUUUACAUGUGUUAGACGAACGGUCUGGAAAGUCCGACGAUACAGGGUGAUAGUCCCGUAGUUGACGAUGCAUGUUCAGUGAAAUCGAGUAGGGCGGGACACGUGUUAUCCUGUCUGAAUAUGGGGGGACCAUCCUCCAAGGCUAAAUACUCCUGACUGACCGAUAGUGAACCAGUACCGUGAGGGAAAGGCGAAAAGAACCCCUGUGAGGGGAGUGAAAUAGAACCUGAAACCGUGUACGUACAAGCAGUAGGAGCACCUUCGUGGUGUGACUGCGUACCUUUUGUAUAAUGGGUCAGCGACUUAUAUUCAGUGGCAAGGUUAACCAUCUAGGGGAGCCGUAGGGAAACCGAGUCUUAACUGGGCGUCAUAGUCUCUGGAUAUAGACCCGAAACCGAGUGAUCUAGCCAUGGGCAGGUUGAAGGUUGAGUAACAUCAACUGGAGGACCGAACCGACUAAUGUUGAAAAAUUAGCGGAUGACUUGUGGCUAGGGGUGAAAGGCCAAUCAAACUCGGAGAUAGCUGGUUCUCCCCGAAAGCUAUUUAGGUAGCGCCUCGGACGAAUACUACUGGGGGUAGAGCACUGUUAAGGCUAGGGGGUCAUCCCGACUUACCAACCCUUUGCAAACUCCGAAUACCAGUAAGUACUAUCCGGGAGACACACGGCGGGUGCUAACGUCCGUCGUGGAGAGGGAAACAACCCAGACCGCCAGCUAAGGUCCCAAAUUACAGCUAAGUGGGAAACGAUGUGGGAAGGCUUAGACAGCUAGGAUGUUGGCUUAGAAGCAGCCAUCAUUUAAAGAAAGCGUAAUAGCUCACUAGUCGAGUCGGCCUGCGCGGAAGAUGUAACGGGGCUAAGUUGUAAACCGAAGCUGCGGCAAUGUUCUAUGAACAUUGGGUAGGGGAGCGUUCUGUAAGCCGUUGAAGGUGUGUUGUAAAGCAUGCUGGAGGUAUCAGAAGUGCGAAUGCUGACAUGAGUAACGACAAGGGGGGUGAAAAACCUCCCCGCCGGAAGACCAAGGGUUCCUGUCCAACGUUAAUCGGGGCAGGGUAAGUCGACCCCUAAGGCGAGGCUGAAAAGCGUAGUCGAUGGGAAACGGGUUAAUAUUCCCGUACUUCUUACAAUUGCGAUGGGGGGACGGAGAAGGCUAGGUGGGCCUGGCGACGGUUGUCCAGGUUCAAGUGCGUAGGCUGAGUGUUUAGGUAAAUCCGGA